Molecule: small RNA, 560 nt
Filed under: Pongo abelii (Sumatran orangutan)
Lineage: Eukaryota; Metazoa; Chordata; Mammalia; Primates; Hominidae
Description: retained intron
Source: RNAcentral
CCUGUAGGGGUGAGGGAAGUGGAAAUCUGGCUGAGUGUGAAAGAACCUUUAAAUAUCGGGGGGAUUGUGGGAACCAUUGUGAGCCUCCUUCUGCUGGGACUGGCCAUUAUCUCAGGGCUUCUGUUGUAUUAUAGCCCUGCGUUCUGCUGGAAAGGUAAGGGCUCCCCGGGUCCUUUAGCUUCUCUUCCAGGCUUUUGAAAAGGUGCGGGUUGGGGAAGGAUGGCCCCUGUCAUGCUCCCACCUGAAGUUCUGUUCUCUGGGCUUCUUUGCUGGGUCAAGAUAUACAGUAAUAAGUCACCUAAGUACCAUCCCGGGACACCCUAUCACCUGUCAUAUUGAGUCAGUUUUUUUAUUUGUUCCUCUAGUAAAUGUUAGCCUGAUUAAGAACCUGUGAGGUUGAAGUGGAUGUUACUGGAUAUUAAUGGUUUUUCCUUUCUCUCUUCAGCAGGAAACACUUUCAGGUGAGUGUUCCCUAGAAUCAAACCAAACACCCAUUCCCACAUCUGUCUUCACUUCUGUUUUGUUCCCUUCCUUUCAUAAGAACAAUAAUAGCAACUACC